RNAcentral lists this transfer RNA (71 nucleotides) under Candidatus Parcubacteria bacterium. RNAcentral's name for it is "tRNA-Thr". It matches the Rfam family "tRNA". From Rfam's summary of the family: Transfer RNA (tRNA) molecules are approximately 80 nucleotides in length. Their secondary structure includes four short double-helical elements and three loops (D, anti-codon, and T loops). The record is from RNAcentral. Lineage: Bacteria; Candidatus Parcubacteria.
GCCGCUUUAGCUCAAUGGUAGAGCAGCUGUUUCGUAAACAGCAGGCCCCGGUUCGAUUCCGGGAAGCGGCU